AUUGAACGCUUGCGGCAGGCCUAACACAUGCAAGUCGAACGGUAACAGGAAACAGCUUGCUGUUUCGCUGACGAGUGGCGGACGGGUGAGUAAUGUCUGGGAAACUGCCUGAUGGAGGGGGAUAACUACUGGAAACGGUAGCUAAUACCGCAUAACGUCGCAAGACCAAAGAGGGGGACCUUCGGGCCUCUUGCCAUCGGAUGUGCCCAGAUGGGAUUAGCUAGUAGGUGGGGUAACGGCUCACCUAGGCGACGAUCCCUAGCUGGUCUGAGAGGAUGACCAGCCACACUGGAACUGAGACACGGUCCAGACUCCUACGGGAGGCAGCAGUGGGGAAUAUUGCACAAUGGGCGCAAGCCUGAUGCAGCCAUGCCGCGUGUAUGAAGAAGGCCUUCGGGUUGUAAAGUACUUUCAGCGGGGAGGAAGGGAGUAAAGUUAAUACCUUUGCUCAUUGACGUUACCCGCAGAAGAAGCACCGGCUAACUCCGUGCCAGCAGCCGCGGUAAUACGGAGGGUGCAAGCGUUAAUCGGAAUUACUGGGCGUAAAGCGCACGCAGGCGGUUUGUUAAGUCAGAUGUGAAAUCCCCGGGCUCAACCUGGGAACUGCAUCUGAUACUGGCAAGCUUGAGUCUCGUAGAGGGGGGUAGAAUUCCAGGUGUAGCGGUGAAAUGCGUAGAGAUCUGGAGGAAUACCGGUGGCGAAGGCGGCCCCCUGGACGAAGACUGACGCUCAGGUGCGAAAGCGUGGGGAGCAAAAAGGAUUAGAUACCCUGGUAGUCCACGCCGUAAACGAUGUCGACUUGGAGGUUGUGCCCCUGAGGCGUGGCCUCCGGAGCUAACGCGUUAAGUCGACCGCCUGGGGAGUACGGCCGCAAGGUUAAAACUCAAAUGAAUUGACGGGGGCCCGCACAAGCGGUGGAGCAUGUGGUUUAAUUCGAUGCAACGCGAAGAACCUUACCUGGUCUUGACAUCCACAGAACUUUCCAGAGAUGGAUUGGUGCCUUCGGGAACUGUGAGACAGGUGCUGCAUGACUGUCGUCAGCUCGUGUUGUGAAAUGUUGGGUUAAGUCCCGCAACGAGCGCAACCCUUAUCCUUUGUUGCCAGCGGUCCGGCCGGGAACUCAAAGGAGACUGCCAGUGAUAAACUGGAGGAAGGUGGGGAUGACGUCAAGUCAUCAUGGCCCUUACGACCAGGGCUACACACGUGCUACAAUGGCGCAUACAAAGAGAAGCGACCUCGCGAGAGCAAGCGGACCUCAUAAAGUGCGUCGUAGUCCGGAUUGGAGUCUGCAACUCGACUCCAUGAAGUCGGAAUCGCUAGUAAUCGUGGAUCAGAAUGCCACGGUGAAUACGUUCCCGGGCCUUAUACUCACCGCCC
RNAcentral lists this ribosomal RNA (1377 nucleotides) under uncultured bacterium. RNAcentral describes it as "bacterial SSU rRNA". It matches the Rfam family "Bacterial small subunit ribosomal RNA", at positions 28 to 1395 of the family's 1533-position model. The record is from RNAcentral.